This 166-nucleotide ribosomal RNA is filed under the name Saxifraga burseriana. RNAcentral describes it as "5.8S ribosomal RNA". The stretch from base 1 to 87 matches the Rfam family "5.8S ribosomal RNA", at positions 70 to 154 of the family's 154-position model. Rfam says of the family: 5.8S ribosomal RNA (5.8S rRNA) is a component of the large subunit of the eukaryotic ribosome. It is transcribed by RNA polymerase I as part of the 45S precursor that also contains 18S and 28S rRNA. Functionally, it is thought that 5.8S rRNA may be involved in ribosome translocation. The record is from RNAcentral. Lineage: Eukaryota; Viridiplantae; Streptophyta; Magnoliopsida; Saxifragales; Saxifragaceae.
AAUUGCAGAAUCCCGUGAACCAUCGAGUCUUUGAACGCAAGUUGCGCCCGAAUCCAUCUGGUUGAGGGCACGUCUGCCUGGGUGUCACGUACACGCGCCUCCCGCCAACCUUCCCCUUUAUGCGGACGAAGGGUCUCGCGGGAGCAGAUGUUGGUAUCCCGUGCCU